AGCAAGAACAAAGGAAGGAAAGAAGAACAAAAACCCUAGGUGGAAAAAUUCAAGGGAAAAGUGUGAAAAUUCAAGUAAUCAAGCAAUCAAAGGUAAAAUUUCUUGAUUUUGACUUGUGAUCUACCUUUCCCAUGCACUAUUUUGCAUUUUCCAUGGUUGAAUCACAUGAUUUCAUGAUGGGUAUCUUGCUGGCUGAACAUUUAGAGAGAAGUUUUGAUGCUUGAUUUGGUUAGAUUUUAAGAUAUUUUAGUGUUUUUAGUUAGUUAGUGAUGUGUAGCAUGAAAAUCAAGCAAGAAAAAUUCAUGUUCUUCCAUCACCCAUCAUUGGCUGAAUUCUCCAUGUGGAAUAUUGAGGAUGAUUUUGAUUUUAUUUCAAGUGAUUUGGUUAGGAAUUAAUGAUUUAUGGUGUGAGAAUCAAGUAGGAAAAAUUAUAGUGUUGAUGCACCCACCAUGGCUGAAUUUUCCAAGAGAAAAUGUGAGGAUGAUUUUGCCAUAUUUCAAGUUAUUUAAUUUGUGUUUGAUGAUUUGGAGUAUUGGGAGAAAAAUAGAAUUAUUUAGAGUUAAAUUGGAAAUAUUGGCCAAUUAAUCGAGUGAUAGAUAGAAUUAGGCCAAUACCGAUUUAAUUAGGGACCCAAUUGAAUUUGUGUAGAACAUCGUGUUUAGACAAUAAUCCGAACAAUUUGCAUCCCAUUUCAUACAUUAGUAUAAAGUCUGAAUUGAUUUUAUAACAAUUUAGCACAAUGUAGUAAAUGGCUUAUUGUGCAUUAUGUCUAAGUGGUGAGCAUUCUAGCAAAAGUAAAGAGAUAAUACCCGAGGAUCAAGAAUCGGAGUACUUGGAAUUCAACUCUCGAAAUAGUGAGUAACCUUAUCAUCAUCUUAAUUAUCUAAAGUAUGUUUUGUUCGAUUUUGUGAAUUUCAUGGAAAAUGAGUUAAAUGGUUAAUUUUUAGGUUUUACAAACAAAAUGUGAUUUAAUGAAAAUGAUUUUAUAAAAUUGUUUUAAAAUUGAAUGAUAAUUUGAAAAUAAAGUAAUUAGAGACUGUUUUUGCGUGUUGUAAAUUCAUGAUUCUAAUUGAUUGGCUUAUGGCAAUAUUGGCAUGAAUGGUUGAUUUGAUAAAUGUGUUGGAAAUGUAUAAAUUGUUGAUUUGCCUUGAAAGGUUGUACAAUAAACUAAAAUAAUUGCCAUGUCAUGCAAUUGCAAAUUUUAUUGUAUGGUGGGUUUAACCUGCUGCAGGGGGCGGGUUUUUUAUGGACUAGCCUAUUAGAGGGGCACAGAAUCCCAUUAUAUUUUACCUCGGUUGGAGAGGCAAGUAGGGUAACUUCCAAGGUAUAACUUUUAGAGUUCACUUCACGUCAAACCACCACGUGAGGGGGAACUCAACCAAUGCCAAGGAACGGCUAUGUUUUCAAAAUAAAAACAUGAUUUAUGCGUACAUAACUUUUAACAGCCUUGGCGGACUUUGUUGGGAUAGCCCUCGAUCAAGGCAUCCUUGAUAACUAGGUAUGAGAAUGAUUUUGGCACGAGCCAAUGUUUUAAGAAAUUCAUAAGCCAUGUUGAUUACUCGAUUUAUAUGAAUUGAUUUUAUUUGGUUGAAACAAGUUGAAAGGUGAUGAAUUACAGCAUGUUAAACUGUUUUAUCUGUCUCCAUUUACUCGACUUUAGAUAUUUUAGAUGGUAUUUGUUUACUCAUUGGGAUUAUAUAAUCUCACCACCCUCCUUUCCACCUAUUUCAGGCUCAAGAUAGUCUAUAGAUACCUGAUUUUAUCAAGGACUACCAUUAGAUUUGCAUCCUCCAAGCUGUAGGUUCACAGUCUUUCUUACUGUUGGUUAUUCGAGGGCCCACUUGUUACUGUAAAUUAAAUUAAAUACUUCGGCUUACUGUAUUAUGAUAUAUAUGAAUUUAUUUUGCUUUUACGUUGUAAAAAUUAUUUAUGCAGUAUUCUAAAAAUAUUAUUUUAUGAGAAAAUUGAAUAUUUUAUUCUAAUAGUCAUAAUUUCAUUUUAAACGAAUGUUUUAGACAUUCAAAUUUAUUUUUUAUUAUGAAUUAUGUGUUUUGUAUUCGCAUACUACAUUUUUAGCAGAUUUCGAGAUUUUUGAGAAAAAAUGACCAAAAUGCCCCUGUGAGAAAAAAAUUGUUUUUCUAUUGUUUUGAUUUGGAAAUAGUUUAUAAUCUUUCAAAACAUAAUUUUAGUGACUAAUGCUCACAGGGGAAGAGAGAAAAACUGAUGUGAAGCCUUGCGAGGUUACAAUUGACAUUCCGGGUAAUGAAUGUCUAUCGGGACGUCACGGCUGUUGUCACGAGCUCGAUGGGAGUUGCAGAUCGUGACAUAAUUAGUUAGCCUUAUUUAAUCCCAAUCAUGUCACUAAAUGUAUGUGACCCAUUAGGUUUCUAACAUGUUGGCAAUAAAUAUAAAUUCUAAUCAAAUAUCAAUUUGAUAAUUAAUUUAUAUUUAUCAAUCAUGAGCGGCAUCUACCAAUACAUCAUGACCACUCAAAUGUUAAAGAGCCAGUUAAAGAAUUUGACAAAGUCCUUUAGUGAUAAGCCUCUCAGUGCAAUACAGACCUUUCAUCAUAUAUCCCAAAUAUGUCAUUAAGCACGGCUCGGUGUCUACUUAUGACAUUCCAUAUUAGUUCUCAUAAUUCAUGACUAAUCUUAUGAAUUUAGGAAAUUAACUUUCCUCAAAUUCAUCAUGCUUUGGUCAAAGACUUUAUACAAGUUAAUCAAGAAUUAAGAACAAGUGAGGUACAUCUCCUUAUAUCACUUGGGGUGAUGAAUCCUCUCUUGACCACUCAUUCACCUUCACAUGUUUCAUGGCAUACCCAAAAAUAGCCUGUUUAGGCAUUUGGUCACCUCCAAACCUGUAGGGGUGAAAUCAAAGUAUGUCAUUCCCCAUACAAUAUGACCUAGUGUAUCAAGUCCAAGGACUAAUUGCACGACUAUCACAUGAGAACAUAUUCCAUAGGCAUUUAAAUGAAAUAUCAAAUGGAGUUCUCAUAGCGGGUCAAGUUCAGUGAACUUGUUCUUUAACAAACACCUACAUAUUAUCCUCAAGUAUCCCAUAUACUUCAAUCUAUGAGAUCGAUUUCUUACUUCCCAAGUAAGGAGGCUUAACAUGUAUCAGUCUUUGAGCAUUGUCAAUGCCUUGUCUUGACAAUACAAUGACGAGGAACAAUUUUAAGAACAUGGCUUUAAUGCAUAAUGAUCUCAUAAUUGUAACAACUUUACAAUUCUCUUGCGAGGCCUUUAUGUUCCAUGGGAUUCAUCCAAUUGGUACUUAAUAACUCCUUAUUAUUGUACUUACAUGAAGAAAAUCCUUUAUCACAUAUGGUUAUGCGAUUAAGUAUGCAUUAAAUGACAAUAUAUAUUCCUUGACCAAUCCAAUUGGCUCAAGGGCAUAUAACAACAAUCUCCCACUUGCAUUAGAGUCAAUUGCUAACGGAUCCAGUAUUGAACUUUUUUGCUUAGCAAUUGUGUCUCUACUAGGACAACUCAAAUUGCAAUAUUUGGGAAUAAGUUAAUUUACAUGUUUGACAAUCUCCAUUAUGAUAAUCAAAAUAGUAAUUUAGAUCACAACGAUACCUUGAUUCCAUUAUUAUGGCUCUUGUUGUUACUUUAACAACUCGAAAUCAUUUAUCGGUUCAUUAAACCAAUGAUACAAAUAUCUCUUCUUUUGUGGCCUAAACAAAAGGUUUGUAUCUGGUUACAAAUAUAAUCAUGCAGUUAUCUCUUAUUUUGGAACUAGUCCAAUAUAACUGCUUAAUCAUGACUUUAUGUCACUUUUAACAUUUAAGACUCUCUUUGUUAGACUCCUUUAACAUGUUAUCUGAAAUUAUUUUGUUGAGUCCCUUUUUAGGCUCUAACUCUUUUGUCUCAAUUUGUUUUUCUUACAUUGGAAAAUGUAUCUUAUACACUUUUAAUGAAUAACUUAUCUUCUCUCACUAACCUUAUGAUGUGCCCAAAAUAUUUUUAUUUUAUUCAAUGUAUUCAACUAUUUUGAAUUUAUUACAUUGAAUAAAGAUUAUUAUCCAAUCAUUCAUGUUGGAUUAUUUAGUAAACUCAUCUUAUAUGAGCAGUGCAUCAAUAUGCAUCCCAUUAAUGGUUUGUAUUUAGUGGAUUCAUUUCAUGAAUUAUGCAUCCUUAUGCAUCCCAUUAAAUCAGUCUUUAUGGGUAGAUCUUAUCUAUUGGAUUUCAUAAUUUCAUAACGUUUGACCUUUAAAUUAUCAUUAGCACCCACUAUUUCUAUCAUGUAUAGAAAUCUUACUAGGUAAACUUAUUUACUUUCUUUUGGGGCAUUAUAUCUAUAACUUUUAUGUAUAGAUACAUAUUAUAAGUUGUUCAUCAUUGGUUAUGGGAUGACAUCCUAUCAAAGGUUAGUUCAUGGGCUUAAUUGGGGUUGGAAUGCUUUGUGAUUCAUCUCUUAUGAGUUCAAUAUGAUAAUCAAUUAUUAUUUAGUUCUAACCAAUCUUAAUUUAAAUUUAAGAUUUCAUUAAGAAUGCUCCUUGACUAAAUAUGUUCAUAAUCCUAUUAUGAAUUCAUUGAGUUAGAAAUUAAUUUUAUCUAUGUCAACUCAUUAAUUUCCUUUUUGAUUCAUAAUUAAAAGAAAAAUAAUCUCACAAUGAUCUUAUCACUAUGACUUAGUAUUGAUUAUCAUAUAUACAAGGUUAUACUUACAAAUAAAUAAUUUAGAACAAUUCUAAAAUAAAAUGAGAUGUAAUGUAAAUAUAUAAAUAUAUAUAUAUAAGCUAAGCAUCUCAUGCUAGCAAAAUAUAAAUCUAUGUUUCCUAAACAUAAAAUAAAAUAUUGAGCCAUAGGCCCAAAACCAAAACAUCUCAUCUUAGCAAUCAUGCCAUGAAAACAUUCAAUGUUCUAUAAUUAUUUAUUGUUCCACAAUCUAUUCUAGGUCGACAAGCUUGCUCACCAUCAACUAAGUUUGUCCCUUUCAUGAUCCUAUUCUUCACUGCUCCUUGUCAUUAGUUCCUUCAAUAUGUCAUACAUAUUAAAACCAUUAAAAAGAGUAAGGUAUCAUAUACUAAGUAGUGAAAAAUAAAUCAUUAUAUGAUUCAUACCUGAUGUGGAAGCUUUCUUUUGUUUCUUCCCUUUGAUGGAUUUAAGAUAAUCCUUGCAAUUACGCCUCCAAUGCCCUAGUUUGCCACAGAAAUGGCAUUUGUCAUUGUCCUUGUCUUUCUUCACUCCUCCAAUAGGCUUCAUACCUUUUGAAGUUGAUGCCUUCGCAUCCUUGUCUUUCUUAGAAAAUUUUAUUUUUCUUAGAAGAGACAAGAUGAAUUGAAGGCUUCUCCUUCACAAUGUUAUUCUCAGCCUAUGUAAGCAUAUUCAAUAAGCCCAAAAGGGUUACCUUAAUCUUGUUCAUGUUGAAGUUCAACACAAACUAUGAAUAGCUCUCUGGUAGCGAAGAAAGUACAAUGUUUAUGCUCAAAUCAUGAUCCAUAACCCAACCCAACUGCUCAAGUCGAGUGAUAUAUCCUUUUAUCUUAAGCACAUGAGGCCUUACUAUGCUUCCUUCAUACAUCUUACAUCAAAACAAUUCCCUUGAAAUGUCGAAUCUCUUUAUGCAACUUUUCCUAUCGAACAUUUCUCUAAGGUUUAGGAUAAUAUCCAGAGCAUUCAUAGCUUCAUGUUGUUUUUAAAGAUCUGGAGCCAUACCAGCCAACCUCACAUAUGUGGCUUGAUCGAGAUCAUCCAUGUAAGCUCUAUAGGCCUCAUUUUCCUUAUUUGAAGCAUCAUCGCUAGGUUCCUUGGGAACAAGACCAUGUAGAACAUAAGCCUUUUUCUCUUGUUUCAAGACAAUCUUGGUAUUGUGAAACCAGUCAAUGAAAUUUGGGCCUAUUAACUUGUUUGCAUCAAGCAUGCUUCUAAGUAAUAAACUAUUCGCCAUGAUAGAUUUAUAUUCUAUAUAAACCAACAUAUAUGAUUAUUAGUCAUUAACGUAAAUUAUAUAAUCAUAAAGGCAAGAUUUUAGAAUCUUAUGUGAUUAUUCUCAAUAUUUUAUCAAAAUAAUAGCCUUCCUCUAUUGUUUCGAGAAAUUUAACCUUUAAACUUCUUAUUGAGCUAGGACCCUUUUCAUCCCACCAUGACCUUGAGUGACUCAACAAGCCAUAAUGAAACCAAUUAGGUAGGUAACUUAGCUUACUAAUUGUAUCUUAUUCAACUCCUAGAUUAGUUAGGUGACAACUCCUUGUCUAAAUGUAUCAUAUACAUUUUCUCUAACUAUGCCUCUAAUACUAUGUGGUCAUGUGUGACACAUCUGAACAACAUGAUACUAGUUGAGUAAGACCCACCAAUAGCUCAAACGUACUCGUGUAAAAGUUUGGCCUUGAGUGACUCAACAAGCCUCCAAUUAAAAGAGCAGCCCGAUUCUCUUGUUAAAUGGUAGAAGGCAACUUUUUUGACUCAAUAUUUUAAUGAGAGAUUUUAUUUAUUAAUUCAUUAAUUAAGGUCUCAUUGAUUGGGCAUUGUUGACAUGCAUAGCAUUUAUUGCAUUUCACUUAUAUCAUAUAUAUAUAUAUUGAAAAAUAAAUUUAUCUCAUUCCAACUGCUAAGAUGAUUAUGGACUUUACUAAUUCUAAUUUCCUCGAGCCAUUAAGGAAAUUAGUUGGUCAAAUUCCUAGGGCAUUUACAUAAACAUUGUCUUCAAGCUUUGCUUGUAAUCUCCUUCACUCUCCAUGGCGCUUUUGGAUCUCCAUCUUCAAGUUACAAAAAUUUUUCUAUCUAACCUUAGUUUUACACUUUGAUGUAACUAAUUGCAUUUUAUAAUCAAAGGGAGUCAAGUGAAAAAAGAAAUUUACAACCCAAAGAAAAUAGAGAUAAGGCAAGAUGCGCAGACCCUAUUUUAGAAUAAAUACCAUGAGAAAUAAAUUUAACCAUCCAUAACCUAAUCUUCUAAGGUCUAAGUCCAUAAUCAUCCCUAUGCUUUAUAAUCACAAGUAAAAGCAUAAAAUAAAGGUAAACUCAAUAUCACUUGGUGAUCUUGUGUGUUAUUUCAGAAAAGCAUCAAUUAAUUCACUUAAAGUGCUAAACUCAAAUUAUUUGGUAUUUUAUAUUUCAAUUUAGUGUUUAAGAAAUUCCCAAUUUCAAAACACUUAACGUAAAUCAUUUACUUCUUAUUUCUUAUUAAAAAUUCAUUAAAAUAAAAUUUUCCUUUUUAAGACUUUCCAUUUUAAUUCUUUCCAUAAUUAAAACUCCUUUCAACCUUGGAAACCUCUUUAUUUUAGGCAAACUUCCUAAAAUAUUGUGAGACCUUGACCUUUAUAGACUCAUAGUUAGUAAUAGACGCGACAUCCCUGAUCAGAGGUAAUUUCGUCAUUUCCUUAGUAAGCCCCUAAAAGUAAGUUUUAAACAAUAUUAAGGCCUAAGUAGGCCUAAGGCAUAAAUGGAUGAUUAAAUAUAGGUAAAAUGACAAGGGAAAUAAAAAUGGUGAUGAUUUUUACGGUAUGGGCAAAAUGGUCAUUUUUCACCUUGAGUAAAAAUUUAUAGGUUUUCAUGAACUUGAGCAUUUCUAGGCCAUUAUGGACCUUGUCCUAGUGUCAAAAGAGUAAAAGAUUGCAUAAAGGAUUGGAAGAGAACAAGCUAAUUUGUGGAGGGGCAUUUUCGUAAUUUAAAUGAAGUGGAUAAGCAUGGGCUAUAAAUAUCUUGUUCUUCCAGCAGCUUCUUCAUUCUUCAGCAGCUUUUCUCUUUCUUCUUCCUUUCAUCUCGCGUUGUUUUCAUCCUCUAUGAAAGCUUGAUAUGAAAGCUCCAUAACCUCCCUUAAAAUAGCUCCACUUUUCAUGCCUUGGUGCACUCCUUUCAUAAACCCUUGUGCUCUUCCACUCUCUCACUUUAAAACCCUUGAAAAAAAAACCUUGUUUCCAUACUCUCUCUCACUAGUUAGGUGUUUUAGAGAGAGAAAGAGGAAGCUUUGAUAAUAUCUUGAAAGUUUUUGGGAAGAAUUUCAAAUACAAGCUACCAAGGUGAGUAGUACAGUAGAAUUGAGUUUUAAUGUUGAAAACGAUUAGUGUUUAGACUUGGUGGUGAUUUGGUAGUUGGGGCUGUUCAUUCACUUUAAAGUGAUUAAGAUAGUGAACUUAGAUAGCCACUUAAAUGGCAACUUGAAAGCUAGCUAAGAGAAAACUUUUAGAAUUUGUAAGUAUGUGGCUUGAAUUAAUGGUGAUGCUAAUAUGAUAACAGGUUCCAACAAAGCCCCAUCGCCCCAUUUGGACAAUUAGAAAAGUAGAGUCGACUAAAGGUCCAACAAGAUACUGGUGAGUGAACUUGCAUAUCAAAACUAUUUUGGGAACGUGAAUGUAUUUGUACAAUGCCUUUGAAUGAGCUUAUUCAACUUUUCUUAAAAAUGGGUACCUUGGGAACAAGCUUUUGAUUAUUGUCUUUAUAUAUGACAUGUGGCUGUUAUGGAUUCUUGUUCUAUGUCAUUGUGUUGAUAUACAUAUAUGUUGUGCAUUGGUGGCUAACAUGGUGUGAUAAUGGUAACCGCGCGUGUGCACGAUGCGAGGGGAUGCACAUGCCAGUGAUGAUGGUGGUGAAGGUGUUGGAUGAUGAAAGUGCCCGUGUGCACGAUGUGGGGGGAUGCACACAAUGCCACUAAUUGUGCACGAUGUGGGGGGAUACACACAAUGACUCCGAUUAUGUGCACGAUGUGGGGGGAUGCGCAUGAGCUGGAUGAGAUAAUAGUGGUAUUGGUAUUUAUCCAUGUAUGAAUAUGUAUAUAUUUAGAGAAUGAAAACUCAUAAAUAUGGUUUAUAGUUGAAAUGCAUAUGAAUUUGGCAUGUUGAACUUUGGAAAUCUUUAUGUGUUUCAUGUUGAUUUUGUUAUUUCAGUAGGAUGGCUUUUUCUUGAAGGGAAUGGAAACUUUUUUCUUGGUGCUCUGAUUCUCGCUGUAGCGAGAAACUCUCGGGUUUUGGAGGGGUAACGCUAGUUGAAAUCUCGCUGCAGUGAGAAUCAUUCUCGUUGUAGCGAAAACUUUUUGUUUUAUGCAGCAAAAAACUUUCUAUUUUGCUCCUUAUUUUGUUCAAUUGCUGUCCUAUUUUCCACUUUUUUGGUACCAUAGUUGAGCAUGGACUUCUAACAUUAAGAAAUUAAUUAGUUAAGUUUGAAAUGAUGAGGUUUGGUGAGAAACCCUUGGUUAGUUGAGAAACCCUUGUUCGGCUAAUAACUUUAAUCCUAACUUCGCUGCAGCAAGAAUGCCUUUUCGCUGCAGCGAGGACCCAUCGUUUAUUCGACUUGAUUCGCAUGAAUGCUAUUAAAGUUUUCACUCUAAAUCCUUUGUUGAGCAUGGACCCUUUUCAUAAAGUGAUUUACUCAUGUGGGGUUUACAUGAGGGGUUUUAAUAAGAACUAAAACAAAUUGCAUUGUUUUUUUAAAAAAAUGAAUGCAUCAUGAUUUCGUAAACAUUCCUUAUUAUUUGCUUGUUCCCUUCUUGUUCACUCACUGAGUUUAUACUCAUUAUUUUCAACUUCAUGUUUUCAUAUCAAGAAGUAGCCGGUAACUAGGACGAGGUCACCUCGUAGACUUGUAUCAAUCUUUUAGUAGGUAUCAAUGGCAUUCGGUAACUGCACCUUCGCUAUGGUUGCUCCACUAGAAGUCUAGAGUCCUUUUUGUUGAACACACGUGCCUUGAUGUAAAUUGUUAAGACGUGUAUAUGUCUUAAGCAAUAGAUGUUUAUAUUGUUUAAUGUUGCCACUAUGUAAUGGCAUGGAUGAUAUUAUUUUGAAUCAUAUAAAUGUGAAUAUAUGGUUUCGAUAAAAAAGUUUUGACAUACUCGUUAGUAAGAACUUCGAAAUACAAUGGUAAGAACGAAUGAUGAAAUUGAUGAAUGGAGUCACAUAGAUAGGCUUGCUUGGGCUUAGUGGGCUAUGUCCAUUGGGCGCAUGCACCUGUCAUGGCUUGGGAAUUAGGUCGUGACAGACUUGGUAUCAGAGCCCUAGGUUGUCUAGGUCCUAGGACUUCCUUUUGUUGGUCCAGCGGAGUGUCGGGUCUUUAUUUGGAAACUUUGGUUGUGAAGUGUGAAUUGCAGCACAUUUUACAACCAAGUGACCGCAUAAAUUCCCUAUCUUAGAAACUACAUUUUUGCCUUAAAUAUGAUUAUAAAAUGUGUUUACUAAUAGGUGUUUGCUCUUGUCUAGGUAAGAAUGUCGCCUAAGACACGAGCCACCUCAACACGGAUGGGGGAGCAAAAUGCUCAUGAUGCGCUGACAAAUAGGCCACGGGCAUCCACCCUUAGGGGGCAAGGUAGACGUGGUAGGGCCACUAGGCCAGUGAAGGCAAAUACGCCUGUGAGUAGAAGAGAAGAAGGACAAUCUUUGGGUGAUGUCGAUAGACAACCAGUUGGGGGCAUUACCAUUGAUGACUUGGCUGUAGGCUUGCAGGGAGUUAAUCAGGUUGUAGAGAUGAUGGCAGCCCAUAUGAACGAUAUCUAGAGGGUAGUGGAAGGGAGACCUACAAUACAAGAAUCCCCUAGUUCCCAAGGAAUGGCCGACAGCCAACAUAAUGAGGUUAAGAGGGGUUACUUAGAGAUUUCUCUUCCUGAUUUCCUGAAGCUUAAGCCUUCGUCAUUUUCAGGGUCUGAUGCAUCGAAGAAACCCCAAGUUUUCUUAGAUAAGAUGGAGAAGAUUUGUAAAGCCUUGGGAUGUUCCAGUGUCUGGUCAGUCGAGCUAGCCGCCUUCCGAUUAGAAGACGUGGCGCAAGAGUUGUAUAGUUCUCUAUGUAGAGGUAGACCAACGGAUGCAGCAUCGUUGACUUGGAGUGAAUUUAGUGUAGCCAUUUUAGAUCAAUUUUUACCAUUCAGUGUACGUAAUGUUAGAGCUAGGGAGUUUGAAGCUUUGGUGCAGACCUCGAGUAUGAUGGUGUCUGAUUAUGACAUCAAAUUCAUGCAAUUGUCUCGAUAUGCGCCUUAUCUAGUUUCCACUGAGGAGAUAAAGAUUCAAAGGUUUGUGGAUGGGCUAGUGGAGCCAUUGUUUAGGGUUGUGGCCUCCCAAGAUUUCAAUACCUACUUCGCAGUAGUGGAUUUCGUUCAACGAAUUAAGAUCAGGACCAAUGAGAGUAAGGCUGUGAAGGAUAAAGCAAAGAGGGCUAAGACAUAGGGCUAUCAAGGUCGUAGAGAUUUCAGUGGUGGUGUUUCGUCCUCUAGCCAUCAGGGUCCACAGAGGGAUUCACGAUUAUCCCAAUAAGAGAGUGACCUGCCUAGUGCUAGUGUUGGGGCGAGACAGAGAACUUUUAGUGCUAGGAGGCAGCAAGAUUCGAGACAGAGUAGUCAAGUUAUCCACCCUUGCAUACUUGUGGGAAAAGACAUAGUGGAUGAUGCUUACAUACUGCGAUAGUUUGUUAUGGGUGUGGUCAACCUAGACAUAUUAGGAGGAAUUAUUCGAUGGCUCAUCAGUCACAAGAUUCUACUCAUGGUUCUACCCAACCAACUUCGUCUGCUCCUUCAAUUGCUGCCACAUCUGGUAGGGAGGCUAGUGGAUCAAGAGGUAGAGGUGUUGGUACUUCCUCUCAGGGCAAGCCAUUUGGGUCCGGACGUUAGAGUUCUGUUGGUAGAGGCUAGGCAAGGGUGUUUGCUUUAACAUCGCAAGAGGCCCAAACAUCCAAAGCAGUGGUAUCAGGUACCCUUUCGGUUUGUAAUAUGAAUGCUCGAGUCUUAUUUGAUCUUGGUGCUACCCACUCUUUUAUCUCUCCAUAUUUUGCAUCUCGUUUGGAUAAGGACAUGUUAGGAGAGAAGAAUAAUUAGUAAUGUCUACUCUUGUAAAGGAAGUAUUUGUAGCUGAAUGGGAAUAUGAGUCUUGUGUAGUUCGAGUUAGAGACAAGGAUACUUUGGUAAAUUUAGUGGUGUUAGACACUUUGGAUUUGGAUGUGAUCUUGGGGAUGGAUUGGUUAUCACCCUACCAUGCUAGUGUGGACUGCUAUCAUAAAUUGUUUAGAUUUGAUUUCUCGGGUGAACCAUCAUUUAGUAUUCAGGAGGAUAGAAGCAAUGCUCCAACCAAUUUGAUAUCGGUCAUGUCUACCGGAAGGUUAUUACGAUAAGGUUUUAUAGGUUACUUGGCUGUGGUAAGAGAUACUCAAGCGAAAGUUGGAGAUAUAAGCCAAGUGUCGGUGGUGAAUGAGUUCAUGGACGUAUUUCCUGAGGAACUACCAGAUUUGCCUCUCGAGCAGGAGAUUGAAUUUUGCAUAGAUUUGAUUCCCGACACUAGACCUAUAUCCAUACCCCCAUACAAAAUGGCACUUGUGGAGCUUAAAGAGCUUAAGGAUCAAUUAGAAGAUUUAUUGGAUAAGGGCUUCAUCCGUCCUAGCGUCUCACCAUGGGGAGCACCGGUGUUAUUUGUGAAGAAGAAAGAUGGGUCACUUAAGCUAUGCAUUGACUACCGAUAGCUUAAUAAAGUGACGGUGAAGAAUAAGUAUCCCCUUCCAAGAAUAGAUGAUUUAUUUGAUCAAUUACAAGGAGCACAAUGUUUCUCUAAGAUAGAUCUGCGAUAUGGGUACCAUCAGUUGAGAAUCCAGAAAGAAGAUAUACCCAAGACUGCAUUUCGAACAAGAUAUGGGCAUUACGAGUUCUUGGUGAUGUUAUUCGGGCUUACGAAUGCCCCUAAGCAUUUAUGGAUUUGAUGAAUUGAGUGUUCAAGCCUUAUUUGGACAAGUUCGUAGUAGUGUUUAUUGAUGAUAUCUUGAUCUACUCGAGGAGUAGGGAGGGACACGAACAUCAUCUUAAGAUAGUGCUCCAAAUUUUGAGAGAACAUCGAUUGUAUGCCAAGUUUUCCAAGUCUUAGUUCUGGUUUGAAAGUGUUGCAUUCUUGGGACAUGUGGUAUCUAAGGAUGGGGUACAAGUUGAUCCAAAAAAAGUUGAAGUAGUGGAAAAGUGGCCAAGGCCAACAUCAGUUACGGAGAUUAGAAGCUUUUUGGGUUUGGCUAGCUUUUAUCGUCGAUUUGUUAAGGACUUCUCCAAAAUAGUUGCCCCUCUGACUAAGCUGACACGUAAGGACAUAAAGUUUGAGUGGUCAGAUGCUUGUGAGAAUAACUUUGAGAAGCUUAAGGCAUGUCUUACCAUAGCUCCAGUAUUAAGCCUACCGCAAGGCACAGGGGGUUAUACAAUAUUCUGUGAUGCAUCGCGGGUUGGUUUAGGAUGUGUAUUAAUGCAGCAUGGGAAGGUAAUUGCGUAUGCAUCAAGGAAACUUAAAAGACAUGAGCAAAAUUACCUCGCACACGAUUUGGAGAUGGCAACAAUCGUGUUUGCCUUAAAGAUUUGGAGGCAUUACUUAUAUGGUGAGACUUACGAGAUAUACACGAACCACAAAAGUUUAAAGUAUAUAUUUUAGCAGAGGGAUCUUAACUUGCUGCAACGUAGGUGGAUGGAGUUGUUAAAGGAUUAUGAUUGUACUAUUAUUUACCAUCCCAGUAAGGCAAAUAUAGUGGUGGAAGCCUUGAGCUGAAAAUUGAUGGGGAGCUUGGCACAUAUUUCUACAAAUAGGAGAUCCUUGAUUAGGGAGAUUCAUAACUUGGGAGACAUGGGUGUGCAUUUGGAAGUUUCAUAGGCAAAUGCAUUGUUAGCACAUUUUAGAGUGCGGCCUAUUUUAAUGGACAUGAUUAAAGAAGCACAAGGUAAAGAUGAGUUUAUGGCUAAGGCCUUAGAGGAUCCUUAAGGAAGGAAAGGGGAAAUGUUUACUAAGGGCACAAAUAGACUGUUGAGGUAUGGAACUAGACUUUAUGUGCCCGAUAGUGAUGGAUUGAGGAGAGAAAUAUUGGAGGAAGCGCACAUGGAAGCCUAUGUGGUACAUCUAGGGGCUACAAAGAUGUAUCAAGAUUUGAAGGAAGUGUAUUGGUGGGAAGAACUCAAGAAAGAUGUAACUGAGUUCGUCUCUAAGUGCCUAGUUUGUCAACGAGUUAAGGUUAAGCAUCAAAAGCCUGCGAGGCUACUACAGCCAUUACCAGUGCCCGAAUGGAAGUGGGAGCAUGUAGCAAUGGACUUCGUAACGGGCUUGCCUCAAACUAAUGGGGGCUAUGACUUGAUUUGGAUAAUAGUAGACUAGUUAACGAAAUCAGCUCAUUUUCUUUCGGUUAAGACUACUUAUGGUGGUGCCAAGUAUGCUCGAGUUUAUGUGGAUGAGAUAGUACGGCUGCAUGGUAUCCCUAUUUCUAUAGUAUCUGACAAAAGAGCUCAGUUCACCAGUAGGUUCUGAGGAAAGUUGCAGGAAGCGUUGGGCACUAAGUUAGACUUCAGCAAAGGUUUCGACCCUCAGACCGAUGGACAAUCUAAACAGACAAUACAAACAUUGGAAGAUAUGUUGAGGGCUUGUGUAAUAGAUCUUGGGGUCAGGUGGGAUCAAUAUCUACCCUUAGUGGAGUUUGCCUACAAUAACAGUUUCCAAACUAGCAUCCAAAUGGCAACAUUUGAGGCAUUAUAUGGAUGGAGAUGUAGGUCACCCAUUGGAUGGCUAGAGGUCGGAGAAAGUAAACUUUUAGGGCUUGAGUUGGUGCAGGACGCCACUUAGAAGAUACAUAUGAUUCUGCAAAAGAUGUUGUCAGCACAAAGUAGGCCAAAGUCAUAUGCUGAUAAUAGGUAGAGAGACUUAGAGUUUUAAGUGGGGGAUCACGUGUUCCUAAAGGUCUCACCAACAAAAGAGGUAAUGAGGUUUGGCAAGAAAGGAAAAUUAAGUCCUCGGUAUAUAAGACCCUACAAGAUCUUAGAAAGGGUUGGAGCAGUGGCUUAUCGUUUGGCGUUACCACCAGACCUCUCAAAUAUUCACCCCGUAUUCCAUGUGUCAAUGCUUAGAAAAUAUAACCCAGAUCUAUCUCAUAUAAUACGGUAUAAAACCAUCCAAUUGCAAGAUGAUCUAACCUAUGAGGAGCAACCAGUGGCCAUCCUUGAUAAGCAAGUCAAAAAGCUUUGUUCAAAGGAUGUAGCCUCAAUGAAAGUAUUGUGGCGAAACCAUACUAGUGAAGAGGUAACGUGGGAAGCCAAGAAGGGGAUGCGAACCAAAUAUCCACACCUCUUUGAUACUUAGAGGUACGUUAUCUUAUAGUUGAAUUUAAAUUCGGGGAUCAAAUUUCUCUAAGUGGGGGAGAAUGUGAGACCUUGACCAUUAUAGACUCAUAGUUAGUAAUAGAUGCGACAUCCCUAAUCAAGGAUAAUUUCGUCAUUUCCUUAGUAAGCCCUCAAAAGUAAGUUUUAAAUAAUAUUAAGGCCUAAGUAGGCCUAAGGCAUAAAUGGAUGGUUAAAUAUGGGUAAAAUGAUAAAUGGAUAGUCAUUUUUAACCUCGAGUAAAAAUUUAUAAGUUUUCAUGAACCCGAGCAUUUCUAGACCAUUAUGGAAGUUGUCCCAGUGUCAAAAGAGUAAAAGAUUGCAUAAAGGAUUGGAAAAGAACAAGCUAAUUUGUAGAUGGGCAUUUUCGUAAUUUAAAUGAAGUGGAUAAGCAUGGGCUAUAAAUAUCUUGUUCUUCCAGUAGCUUUUUCAUUCUCUAGCAGCUUUUCUCCUUCUUUUUUCUCUCAUCUCACGUUGCUUUCAUCCUCCAUGAAAGCUUGAUAUGAAAGCUCCAUAACCUCCCUUAAAAUAGCUCCACUUUUCAUGCCUUGGUGCAUUCCUUUCACAAACCCUUGUACUCUUCUACUCUCUCACUUUAAAACCCUUGAAAAAAAAACCUUGUUUCCAUACUCUUUCUCACUAGUUAGGUGUUUUAGAAAAAGAAAGAGGAAGCUUUGAUAAUAGCUUGAAAGUUUUUGGGAAGAAUUUCAAAUACAAGCUAUCAAGGUGAGUAGUACACUAGAAUUGAGUUUUAAUGUUGAAAAUGAUUAGUGUUUAGACUUGGGGGUGAUUUGUUAGUUGGGGUGGUUCAUUCACUUUAAAGUGAUUAAGAUAAUGAACUUAGAUAGCCACUUAAAUGGCAACUUGAAAGCUAGCUAAGAUAAAGCUUUUAGAAUUUAUAAGUAUGUGGCUUGAAUUAAUGGUGAUGCUAAUGUGAUAAUAGGUUCCAACGAAGCCCCAUCACCCCAUUUGGACAAUUAGAGAAGUAGAGUUGACUAAAGGUCCAACAAGAUACCGGUGAGUGAACUUGCAAUUCAAAACUGUUUUGGGAAUGUGAAUGUAUUUGUAUAAUGCCUUUGAAUGAGUUUAUUCAACUUUUCUUAAAAAUGGGUACCUUGGGAACAAACUUUUAAUUAUUGUCUUUAUGUAUGACAUGUGGCUAUUAUGGAUUCUUGUUCUAUGUCAUUGUGUUGAUAUACAUAUAUGUUGUGCAUUGGUGGCUGACAUGGUGUGAUAAUGAUAACCAUGCGUUUGCACGAUGUGGGGAGAUGCACAUGCUGGUGAUGACGGUGGUGAGGGUGUUGGAUGAUGAAAGUGCCCCUGUGCACGAUGUGGGGGGAUGCACAAGAUCUGGAUGAGAUAGUGGUAUUGGUAUUUAUCGAUGUAUGUAUAUGUAUAUAUAUUUAGAGAAUAAAAACUCAUAAAUAUGGUUUAUGGUUGAAAUGCAUAUGAAUUUGGCAUGUUGAUUUUGUUAUUUCAGCAGGAUGGCUUUCUCUUGAGGGGAAUAGAAACUUUUUUCUUGGUGCUCUGAUUCUUGCUGCAGCGAGAAACUCUUAGGUUUUGGAGGGGUAACACUGGUCGAAAUCUCGCUGCAACGAGAACGUUACUGUAGCAUUUCACUGCAUUCUCGCUGUAGCGAAAAACUUUUUGUUUUGCUCCUUAUUUUGUUCGGUUGCUAUCCUAUUUUCCACUUCUUUGGUACCAUAGUUAAGCAUGGAUUUCUAACAUUAAGAAAUUAAUUAGUUAAGUUUGAAAUGAGGAGGUUUGGUGAGAAACCCUUAGCCAGUUGAGAAACCCUCGUUCGGCUAAUAACUUGAAUCCUAACUUCGCUGCAGCGAGAAUGCCUUUCCGCUGUAGUGAGGACCCGUCGUUUAUUUGACUUAAUUCGCAUGAAUGCUAUUAAAGUUUUCACUAUCCAAAUCCUUUGUUGAGCAUGGACCCUUUCCAUAAAGUGAUUUACUCAUGUGGGGUUUACAUGAAGGGUUUUAAUAAGAACUAAAACAAAUUGCAUUGUUUUAAAAAAAAAUGAAUGCAUCAUGAUUUCGUAAACAUUCCUUAUUGUUUGCUUGUUCCCUUCUUGUUCACUCACUGAGUUUAUACUCACUGUUUUCAACUUCAUGUUUUCAGAUUAAGAGGCAGUCGGUAACUAGGAUAAGGUGUCCUCGUAGACUUGUAUCCAUCUUUUGGUAAGUAUCAAUAGCAUUCAGUAGCUACACCUUCACUAUGGUUGCUCCAUUGGAAGUCUAGAGUCAUUUUUGUUGAACACACGUGCCCUGAUGUAAAUACUUAAAACGUGUAUAUGUCUGAAGCAAUAGAUGUUUAUAUUGUUUACUGUUGCCACUAUGUAAUGGCACGGAUAAUAUUAUUUUGAAUCCUAUAAAUGUUAAUAUAUGGUUUUGAUAGAAAAGUUUUGACAUACUCGUUAGUAAGAACUUCGAAAUACAGUAGUAAGAACGAAUGAUGAAAUCGAUGAAUGGAGUCACAUAGAUAGGCUUGCUUGGGCUUAGUGGGCUAUGUCCAUUGGGCCCAUGCACCGUCAUGGCCUGGGAAUUGGGUCGUGACAAAUAUAUCUAAGACAACAUUUUAAUUUCUAACAUUUAAAACAUGGACUAGUUUCCUAAAUUGUAUGUUGUUCAAGUUACCUAAAUGGUGACUUAACAAAUUUUUGGAAACUUCUAGUCAAACCAAAAUUUUAAGGAAAGUCCAAUGCUAUCAAAUAACUUUAGGAAUUUUUUCUAAAGUAGGAAACUAUUUCCUAUGAAUUUCCCAAAUUAAAAUACUAUCCUUAAUUUUAGGAAUUCCUUUUAAAGUAGGAAUCAAUUUCCUAUUUUUUUAUGAAUCACUCAAAAUUAAAAUUCUAUCUUUAAUUUUCGGAAUUGCUUUUAAAGUAGGAAACAAUUUCCUAUUUUUUUUGAAUCACCCAAAAUUGAAAUAGAUGGUAUUUAAAUGCUCUUAAAACUCCAUAAAUCAUUAGUCAAACUCAUGAAAAAGCUGCUAAAACUCUCCAGCAAGUGUGUUUAACAAUUAAACACAAAAUUCAUGAAGAAUUAAGCUACCAAAAUCGAUCAUAGCUACUCAAAAUUUUCUGCAUUGAAUCUUUGUUUUUAUCUUUUAAAACUCGAAAACAUGAUUUUUAUGAACCUUUUUCAUACUAAAUCAAGUUGGGCCAAAACAUGCAGUUAUUUAAUUUGAUAAAACUAAUUUUUAACAAUUAAAAACUGCUCAUAACACUUACCCAAUGUUAGUAAAAAAUAAUCAACACAUUAGUCUCCAAAACACCUCAAAACCAUUCAGUUUUAACUUGGCUUUGCAAGCCUUUUAAUCCAUUCAUUAAUUCUUCAACUAAACAUGAUUUUAAACUUUUUAAAACAUGUUUUAACGAAUUAAUUACAUGCUGUCUAGAUUUGAAUUAAAACAAAAAACAAAUUUUAAAGAAAGCAUUUAAAAUUGAUAUAUACCAAAUCAACACACAAAUCAAUCCUAUUGAUUAUCACCAAGAAUCAAGCAUUCAAAUUACAUGAGAAACAUCAAACAAAGGCUUAGAUACCACUACUAGGAUUCGACCUCAUGCUCAAAUAUGAAAAUAAUCAAUAAAUUAAAAAAUAUAAUGCAGCGGUAUAAUAAACUAGCAUUUAAUUAGAGAAGUAGCCGAAUCCUACAAGAUCAAUGUUUGUGUUUUCAUGAAAUUUUUAAUUUAAUUAUGAACAUUCAUAAGUUUAAGAGUUACAUAACUUGCUCUAGAUAUCAUAAUCAAGAGCCAAUUAAAUCAAAAUCUUUGCUUCUUCACCUUUAGGAUUUGCCAAAUCUUUAGCAACCCAAGUGUUUGGCAUCUAAUAGUAAUCCACACAAUGACUGAAUAAGACCUUUUCGAAGGUAGGAUUUUUUUCCUUGUGCUAGUAAGUUUUGUUUCUUAAACAAAAAGACCAAAAAUCCUUGUCGAAUCUUAUUUUUGUCAAACAAAGAAAACUAUUUUCCUUUUCUUAUUUUAUAAAAAGGUUGAGAAGCAGUUGGAGGCUUAGAGUUUUAGUUUGCUAAUAUAAUAUAUUUAUAUAGCCAAAGUAAGUUGUAACCCUAAAUACAAUAGUUGUAUUUUAAUUUAAUUAAGACUUUGUGAACUUAAUUAAUUUUUCACUUUAUUUUGGCCUUUUUCAAUUAAGUCCAACUUAAUUAAUUGUCCUUAUUUAAUCUCAAUCAUGUUACUUAAUGUGUGUGACCCAUUAGGCUUUUAACAUGUUGGCAAUAAAUAUAAAUCCUAAUCAAAUAUCAAUUUGAUAAUUGAUUUAUAUUUAUAGAUCAUGAGCGGCAUCUAGCAAUACAUCAUGAUCACCCAAAUGUUAAAGAGUCAAUUAAAGAAUUUGAUAAAGCCCUUUAGUGAUAAGCCUCCUAGGACAAUACGUGUGAUACCCAGUACUCUCGUAUUGUGAAACCUCGACCUCCAUAGACUCAUAACUAGAAGUAAACGUGAUAACAUGAACCAAGGGUAAUUUUGUCAUUUCUCAUGGUGAGCUCCUAGAAGUAGUUUUCUAAUGUUACUAAGGUCUAAGUAAGCCUAAGGAAUAAAUGAAUGAUGAUAAAAUAAAUGAAGAAGAUAGAAACACUUAUAAUUUCCAAAGUAGGGGCAAAAUGGUCAUUUUGCAUCUUCGAUCUAAAUUUUUACGUUUUCAUGAAAUCGAGUAUUCUUAGACUAUUUUGGACUUGUUUUAGUGUUAAAAAAGUAAAAAGGUUGCACAAAGGAUGGGAGGAAGACAAAGCCACCAUGUUAAGGGCAUUUUGGUAAAUUCAAUGAAAAAUUGGAUUAACUUGAAGCAUAAAUAUAUAAGCUCUAGCAACUUCAAGCAGCUUUUCCUUCUUCAUCCCAACCCUUCUUUUCAUUUCACGUUUUCUUCAUUCUCCAUGGGAGCAAACCUUGAAUCCUCCAUAAAUCUCUCAUAGAAAGUCCAAGUUUCAUGUUUUUGCCCACUCCUUCGUAGGGUUUUUCAUGCUCUUCCACUUUUACACCUCAAUAGCUUUCAAAAGUCUUUCUUUAGUACAUUCACUCACUAGCUGGACGUGUAGAGAGACAGAGAGAGAGUGAGUGAUUUCCCUUAUUAGCUUGAAGAAUUUUGAAAGAGAAUUCAACUACAAAGACCAUCAAGGCGAGUAAUGAAGUAGAGUUGAUUUUUAAGUAUUGAGAAUGCCUAGUGAUUAGAUUUGGGAGUGUUUUAUUGUUGAGGUUAUUUAUUCAAUUUUAGUGUGACUAGAAUAGUGCAAAUAAUAGCCAUUUAAUAGUAGUUGGAAGCUAGUUAAGGAUGACUAGUAGAACUUGAUUUAAGAAAUAUCUUUUGGAAUGGUAUUAAUGCCAAGUUGGACUGAUGGCAAUGUUGUUGCAUGUGAUAGGUUCUAACGAAAACCCCACACCUCUAUUCGGAACAUUAGUCGAAGUUAGAGCCCACCAAAACAUCAACAAAGACUAGUGAGUGAACUUGCAUAAAAGAAUGUUUUGGGAUAUACACAUGUAUGUUUGAUUGAAUCCCUUAAAGUGUUUUAUUGGUUCUUUCUUCAAAACUUGCACGGGAACAAGCCCUUAUGAAAAUGUUUUUAUGUUAUGAAAUGGAUAGUGUAAUGAAUCCAUAUGUUUUUGUAUAGUGUUGAUAUAUAUAUAUAUACAUAUUAUGUCAAACAUGGUACCAUUGUGUGACAAAUGCAAUCGUGCAUGUGCGUGGUGAGUGUGCACCUGCCGGUGAUGAGGGUUGUGAGGGAGAUGGAUGGUGAUAUUGCCCAUGUGCACGAUGUGGGGGGAUGUACACGAUGGCAUUAGUUAUGCAUAAUGUGGGGGUAUGCAUGCGAUGACUCAGCUAUGUGCACGAUGUGGGGGGAUGCACAUGAGCUGGGUGAGAUGGGGUGGUAUACGAAUUGAUAUAUGUUUAGGUAUAUGUAUAUGCAAUAGAAAGAUCAUGAUUGUAAUAUGUGAUUGUAUGACGUGAUGAAUCUUGAAAAUUUCCCAGUUACUUGCAAAUUGAUUUUAUUGUAGCAUCAAAUGGAUGUUUAGUGCAAAAGAGGUCCCUCUUUAUUUAGGUGCCCUGCUUCUCGUUGCAACAAGAAUGCUUUCUCACUGCAGCGAGAAACAUUUUGUUUUGCCGCUUGAAUCUCGCUGCAGUGAGAAACUUUCUAUUCUACAUGCUACCUUGUUGGUUUUUGCCACAUUUAUCACAUAUAGUUAUGUGAUUAAGUAUGCAUAAAAUGACAAUAUAUAUUCCUUGACCAAUCCAAUUGGCUCUAGAGCAUAUACCAACAAUUUCCUUCUAAUUCAGGUGCGUAGGGGUUUCUUUUAUUCUACUCAUUUUUAUUUUUCGGUUUUCCUUACUGAUGAUGCUUAGUCUCUCUAAUUGCUUUGCAAUGUCGCUUUUUCUAUUUUUUAGUUAACAACUAUGUUUCUUUCUAUUUUCGUAUGUCCUUUUAGAUGGUUCUCGAAGGUUUUUCUUUGACUAACAUUUUGUUUUUCUUUUAGGUCUUUUUUUGUAGUUUCCAUAGAGGUUUUAUGUCGCCAAUGGUGGUUUUUUUUAUAUUAUGGUAUUUCUCUUUUUCGAGUUUUUCCAAAGGUAGCAUGCACUUUGUCUUUAACACUCGAUUUUGGUUCUUUAUUAUAUAUUAGUUUCCCAUGAAUAAAGGUUUAAUUUAUUUUGGUGGUGCUAUGAUUUUUAAUUUUUAUUAUUUAUUCCAUGGAUAAAAAAGUACUUUGAAUGCAAGAUCCUAGAAGGAGAUAAUUUGUUGUUUGGUUUCAGCGAGAGUGGUAAGGGCUAGGUUUUAGUGACAUUGGUAAUGAGUUAGGUUCCCUUUUGGAUGUUAGGACAUCAUGUACUUUUCAAACAUUUUAGAUAUUGCCCACAAUCUUGCACUACCGCCAUUUUUUUUUACUUUAUACUAUGACACUCCACUUACUUUGUAUUGUGGCAUAUUUAUAUUCUUCAUUCCUUUGUAAAGACAUGUAUCUUUUCAAUAUCUUUUAUUACAUGCAAAAAAGCUCUUCAUCCUUUUAUACACUUUAAAAAAAAACAUAAGAACUCUAUAGUACUGGUGGCAGUUAUUCUUUCUUCAUCUUUUUUUGCUGUUUAGUACUAACUUUAUGUGAGACCUCGAUCUCUAUAGACCUGUAAAUAGAAGUAGACCCAAUAACACGAAUUAGGGGUAUUUUCAUCAUUUCCUUUAAUAUGCUCCCAAAAGUAGGUUUUCUAAUGUUAUUUAAGUCCAAGUGGUCUCUAAGGAAAAAUAAAUGACAUAUAAUGAUGAAAAGCACGAAGGAAACAGAAAUGACAGUAAUUUUCGUAGUAGGGGCAAAAUGGUCAUUUUUCAUCUUGGGUCAAAAUUUUUAAAUUUUUGUGAACCCGAGUAUUUCUAGACUAUUAUGGACCUUGUCCCAGUGUUAAUAGAGUAAAAAGAUUGCAUCAAGGAUUAGUGGAGAACAAGCUAACUUGUUAAGGGCAUUUUCAUAAUUUAAGUGGAGUUGGAUAAGCUUGAGCUAUAAAUAUCAUCUUCCAGUAGCUUCUUCUCAAACCUCUAGUAGCUUCUCAUUCUUCGUCUUUCUCCCCUCUUAUGUUUUCUUCCUCUGUGGAAGCCUCCCUAAUAGCUUCCAUAACUCUCUCAUAUUAACUUCAAUUUUUUUGUUUUUGUACCCUUGUCAUAGAACCUUUGUGCCCUUUCACUCUUUUACCUUGGAAAGCCUAAAAAGCCUUACUCUAAUACUUUCUCUCACUAGUUAGGCAUUCUAGAGAGAGAGAAAGGACUUUUCAGAUUUGUUUGGAAGCUAUUGGAAGAGAAUUCAGCUACAAAGAAACCCUAAGGUGAGUGAUGAACUAGGCUUGGUUUUAAGUUGUUGAUAAUGACUAGUAAUUGUGAUUAUGAGCUGUUUUAUUGUUGAGGUUGUUUAUUGAUUUUUAGUGUGAUUAAAGUAGUGUUAGGAAUGACUAGCAGAACUUGAAUUAGAAACUAGCUUUUGGAGUGAUAUUAAUGUAAAUUGGAUUGGUAGUGAUGUUUUUGUGCGUGAUAGGUUCCAACGAGACCCACAGCCCCAUUUGAACCAUUAGUGGAGGUUAGAGUCGAUUAAAGGUUUAACAAUACCGGUGAGUGAACUUGCAUUUCAAAAUUGUUUUGGAAAAUAGAAUUGUGUUGAGAUGAAUUAUUUGCAUGAUUUUAUCCAACUUUUCAUUAAAAAUGGGUGCAUGGGAACAAGUCCUUGAUAAAUGCUUUGAUGUCGUAAAAGGUGUGAAAUGUGUAAAGAGGAUGAAUUCAUGUGCUCCUAUAUUGUGUUGGUAUACGUAUUUGAAUGUAUGUUGUGCAAUGAUAAAUAAUGUUGUAUGAUGAUAAUGAGGUGUGCGAGUAGGGAGUGCACACAUGAUGACAUUGAAAUGUGUGAGUAAGGAGUGCACAUAUGGUGGUAUUGCCUUGUGCGUGUAGGGAGUGCACAAGAGCUGAGGAAGGCGAGGUGGUGUAGGUGUUAUAUAUGAUUAUAUCUAUAGAUAUGUGAUAGAAUGUGUGUGAUUGUAAAAUGUGAUUGUAUGGCAUGUUGAAAUUAGCAUCAUGAAUCUUAAGAAUUUCCCAUUUUCUUGCAAAGUGAUUUUAUUGCAGCACCAAAUGGAUUUUUAGUGCAAAGGAGGUCUUUUUUACAUUUAGGUGCCCUGUUUCUCACUGCAGCAAGAAACAUUCUGUUUUGGCCCCCAACAACUCACUGUAGUGAGAAACUCUCCGAUUUUGGUGUAGUACUUCCACUUUAUCGAAGCUUUUGACCACCUUUCGUUCAAAACUGGGUAAAGUAAACAUCAAAGUUGAAUCCCAGCCUCUUAGCUUUCUAAUGGUCUAAAAUCAAGUCAAUUGGACUUCUGUAGUAGGAGAUAUGUUGGAAAAACCAAAACAUAUGCAAACUAAGACUGUUUCUCGCUGCAGCGAGAAACUUGCUGUCCUGCUUGCUACCUUGUUUGAUUUUGACAUAUUUUCCACCCAUUUAACUUCAUGGAUUGAUCACGAGUUUUUUUCAACACUACGGGGUUAUUAAUCAAUGUUUGAAACGAAGGGUUUUUAGUAAGAAAUUAACUCAAUUGCAUUGUUUUCGAAACAAGUGCAUCAUGUUUUCUAAAACAUUCCUUGUUGUUGCUUGUUCCCUUCUCAUGUUCACUCACUGAGUUUGUACUCACUGUUUUCAAUUUCAUGUUUUCAGAUCAGGAGGCAAUUGGAACCUAAGUCGAGCUGUCCACGUAGUUUUGUCUCCUUGGUACGUAUUUGGGAUUCAGUAGCCGCACCUUCACUAUGGUCACUCCGUUGGAAGUCAAGAGUCAUUUUGUUUUAACUGUUAAUGCCACCAUGAGUUGAAAUGUUAACAUCAUUUUAGGUUUAUAUUAAUGAAAUUCUUGAUUGCUAUAGCCCAUUAUUAAAGUGAUUAUAAGUUGGACUUAUGAAAGGUGACUUGAGAAUAGUUGAUGGAAUGUUGAGCAAGAUUAUAUAAUAAGCUUGCUUGGGCUUGGUGGGCUAUGCUCAUUGGGCCCAUGCGCCGAUCAUGGCCCGAAAAUUGGGUCGUGACACUUUAGGACUUUAAAUUGCAUUACAUUUUAGUCAUUGACUUUCAUUUACUCAUUGUUUUUUCUUAAAAUGAAAAUUGAUUUUGCAAAUGUGCUUCUUAAUUUGUGAAAGAAAAUAGUCACUUGUCCUAAACAAUGUUACCAUAUCCAACUAUGCUUAGCUUUGCAUGGUUUGUCAAUUAAGUAUAAAUGGAUAGAACAUUUCUUAUUGCACUCAUUUCCAUUUUGAGAAAAAGUGUCACGACUCAGAACUCCCCAUCGGGCCCGUGACAACCGCCGUGAGGCCUCGACAGACAUUCUUCACCCCGAAUGCCGAUCGAAACCUCGCAAGGCUCUCGUAUCAGCUUUCGCACUUCGCCGGUGAGCAAUAGUUAUCAAAUAUCAAAAUUCGAAGGAUUACAAAUCAUUUCCAAAUCAGAACAAAACAUAUUGUUUUCUAGCCCACAGGGGCAUUUUCGUCAUUUUUGUCGAAAACCUCGAAACUUGCUAAAAAUAUAGUAGGUAAACUGAAAAUAUAUAUUUAAUGAUUUAAAAACAAAUUAAGUAUCUAAAACGUUCAUUUGAAGUGAAAAUUUGACCAUUUGAAUAUAAUAAAAAUAUUCAAUAAAAUAAACUAUUUUCUUGUAAAAUAAUUUUCAUAAAACUAUCGGUACAUAAUUCUUAUAGUGUAAAAGUUAAUUAUAUUCAUAAAUAUUAUACAGCAAAUAACUAAAGCAUAAAAUUUCUUUUACAGUGACACGUGGGCCCACAUCUAUCCAAAAUGCAUCGAAAGCUGGAAACCUACAGCUUUUACCGAUUCGAGUCCAAAUGAAGAUCCUUGUCAAAGUCAGCUAACUAUGGAAUUCCCCGAGCUUGAAAUGUGAGGAAAUGAGGGUGGUGAGAUUAUAAAAUCCCAGUAAGUAAACAGAUACCAUCUAAACUAUCUAAAGUCGAGUAAAUGGAGACAAUUAAAAUAAGUCAUCAUACUGUAAUUUCAUUACCUUUCAACCAAAUAAAAUCAAUCCAUGAAAAUCGAGUAAUCAACUUGGCUUAUGAAUUUCUUAAACCUUUGGCUCGUGCCAAAACUCAUACUCGAUGAUACCUUGCCCAGGGCAUCCAACUGAGUCAGCCAAGGCUGUUAAAAUUUCGUAUACACUUAAAAUAUAUUUUUAGUUUGAGAAAAAUAUAGUCGUUCCUUGGUGUUGGCUGAGUUCCCCUUCACGUGGUGGUUUGGCGUGAAGUGAACCCUAAGCUUUACCCUAGGAGAUACCCUACGCGCCUCUCCGUUCGAGGUAAGAAUAUAAUGGAGUUUACCGUGCCCCUCUUAUAGGCUGGUCCACGAAACCCCCUUUGUAGUGAAUAAUUAAUAUAUAAUCCACCAAUCAAUAAAAUUCAUUCUAGCAUGACAUGCGAUUUAUUGCAACCUAGCCUCUCAAGACUGAAUACACAGUAUAAAUAAUUCUAACACCAAAAUCAGUUUAGCCAUUCAUGCUCAUAUAUUGUCAUAAGCUAUUCAAUUUAAAACCAUAAAUUUACAACACAAGCGGGCAGUCUCCAAUUACUCUAUUUUGAAAACCAGUAUUCGAUUUUUCAGAAAAUUUAUACAAUCAUUUUAUAAACUCACAAUAUUUCCUAAAACAUAGCAAUUUACCAUGCAAACCCAUUUUUCAUAAAAUCACACAAUUGUAUAAAACUACUCCAGAUAAUUAAGACGAUAAUAAGUUCACUCACUGUUCUAGAAGUCGAUGUACUCCUAAUCCCAAUCUCCAAGCACAAUCUCUGUGCUUUUACCUGUGUAAUUUGCUCACCACCUAUCCACAAUGUACAGUAUAUAAUUCAUCACAUCAAUGCUUGACCAUUAUAAAAAUCAAUUCAGGCUCGAUAUAGAUGCAUGAUAUGAUAUAAAACUUAUUCGACUACCGCUUAAAUGCGGUGCUGACCUAAUUCGGCCUAUUAUCUCCAAUUUAACUCCAAAUCAAUUCUUCUCACUUUCUACACUCCAAUUAUACUUAAAUUACCUUAGUGACUAUGAAUGAGAUUCAAUUUAUCAGUCCCAGUAGCAAAUUACGAAAAUACCCCUAGUGGGUAAAAAUUCAUAUUUUUGCUCCGAAAAUUCCCAUUAUUUUUCUAAGCUCAUAAUUCAUCAUUAUUCAUCAUAAUUCCGCAAAUAAACAUCAAGAUCAUCAGCCAAUAUUCCCCUAGAAAAUUCGGCCAAUAAUGGUAAUGGAGGAAAAUAAAUUCUUUUCAUGUUGUUUUCUUCCUAAAUAUGCUAAACUAACUAAAAACACUAACAUAACUUAAAAUCAAAUUAAUCUAACAACAAUUCCUCUUCCAUACCCAUUUUUCAGAAUUGAAUUCAUCAUAAUAACUCAAUAUUCAACCAUGGAAAUCAAGAACAAAAGAAUGGGUAAGCUAGGUAUCAAGGAGAACUAAAGAAAUUCUAACUUACCUAGUUUGUUUACUUGAUUUCUUCACUUUUUCUUUGAAUUUUCACCUAGGCUUUCUUGUUUUUCCCUUUGUUCUUCCUCUCUUUCUCUCUCUUCCUUGCUUGGCCGGCCAUAUGAAGAAAAUGGGCUGAUUUUAUGCCUUUUUAUAAAGAAACAAUAAAAUAAUAAAGGUAUGACACAUGGCAUUUUCUUAUUGGUCUAUUUUUAAAAUUUUAAAAUUUUAAUCCUUUUUAUCUCCACCGCACAGUUAGUCAAUGGUCAAAAUGAGAAUAAAGGAAGACCAUGUGCUGGAAAAAUGUCCUGGUGGUGGAAAAUUACAAUUUUACCCCUAGGGUGGUAAAAUUAUCAUUUUACCCCUAUACUCCAAAUUAUACCGAAAUUAAAGUUUUUCACUUCUAAACCUCAAAUCUUACUCCAAUAAGUCAAAUGGGGCCAAAAAAAUCUUUUUUAAAAUUCCCAUUUUGUCCCCAGGUGGCAAAUGACCAUUUUGCCCCUAGAUAGCGAAAAUUCCGGUUUGACUCCAAAUUGAUCCUCGAACUCCGAAUCACCAUAUUAAACCAUUCUAGGACUUUAAAAUUCUUAAUUUCAUCGUAAAUUCUCUAUUUGAUCUAGUUCGAGGCUUAAAUCAACUUUGUUGUACGUCUAGGUACAAUACCGACUUUUGUAAAUUUUUCGGGACUCUCCUAGCAUGCAAACAUGCUAUCAAUCACAUGUAUGUCAUGACAAAUAUUUUUAUAGAGUCGGGCUUGUCAUCUUCUCCCCCACUUGGAUCAACCAUAUGAUCCUUCUUCAUGACUGAUUUCGACAUCCGGCUAAAUAUUAAUAUUUUAAUAUUAUUUUAUUAAUAAAAUAUUAUUUUAUUCUAAAAAUUUUAUCUUGUCUCCUUGGUACCCAAAAUACCUUAUUAUGCCUCACUUGACUUCCAAAUCGCCUUUUAUCUCACAAAUUCUCCUCCGAUAAAAUUAUUAUUAUUUUAUUAUUAUUUUCUCACUUGCGAAAUAUUUUAUCCUAAACUACUCCUUUCGUCUUUUAUCACUUCUAAACAUUUUAAUUGACCUCAAUUUGCAUUCGAUCAACUUUAUUUAUCACCAUAUCAAAGUAUGGGGUAUUUCAAUUUCCCCCACUUAAAUAGAAUUCGUCCUCGAAUUCCCGUCGAUGUUGCGUUAUCAAUCUCCUUCUAUGAUCCUACUCCUUGUUCCUUCUAUAGGGACAUUCAAUUUAUUUACCUCGUUCACCUUCAGUUCAAUUAAAUGCUUUAUUUAUGGCAAUUAUCAUCCUUUGGAACCGGAUCAGUAAUACUUUUCACAACCAUGAUCUCUUAUAUCUAGACACUAAGCAUGCCUUUAUCACCAUUAUUACAUUUGAACCAUAACUUCAUCUCAAUUAUACCGAUUUCGAUCACAUAUCAUACUUACUUAUGUAUACCUAUUCAUCAUUUUAUUAAUUUGCUCCAUACCAAUUUUCUCAACCUUGAUUCAUCCAUCUUAUACUGGUCCAAACCCUUCCUUUAAUAGAGUUCCAUUAAGAACUUAAACAAUCCAAGGUUUACCUUCAAAGUCAUUCAUAACUUUAAUCGUUCAUUGCAUGUCCGUUAACACUUUAGCUCACUGACCUCUCUGGACACUAUUUCAAAAUCUCCCAAUUACUGAGAACCAUUCUUCACUUUAGUUAGUAAAAUUAUCAAUUUCAUAUAUACAUAUAUACAUGCAUUUUCAAAUGUCAACAUCUCUCUUUAUAUAUAGGAAUCCAUGUGUUCACAUGCCUUGGACUACAUUCCCCCUUUAUUCAUCCGUAUCCCAAUCCUAGUUUCAAUAUAAUAAUUCUUAUAGUGCAUGUCAACCUUCUUAUUAUACUUGUGUAUAACUUCAUAUCAUUCAUAUCAUUUCCAACCAUAUGUUUGAGUUUCCUUAUACUAUAUAUCAUUCAUCACAAUGUCAUCUCCAUUGAAUUAUAAUCUAUUAUGCGUGUAUGCUUUAUAAUCCUAUUGAUGCCUCAAAGAUUUAUCUCAACUUGAUCAUUGCAUCUCAUGCAAUACCACAAUUCCUAAGAGUCAUCCUUUUGUCCUUAAUCAUCUUUCAUGCCUCUAUAUUACCUUGUAUCUUUCUUGCAUUACGAUAUUGAUUUGUCACUUAAGACUCGAACCCAUUUGAAUCAUGUAUGCCUUAAGCAUUUUCGAAUUCCAAUUUCCAUAAUAUAUUAGGAAAGUUUCAUUAUCUGACUUCAUUUUCAAGGUCAACUUCUAUCAUCCUUUGUUCCACUCCUUCAUAUGAACAUAACAUCAUUCUUCCUUAACUAAUUUAUAAAUUGUACUUGAAAUUGUAAAACUUAAAACUAGAUUCUCCUCAAGUAUUUUUCAAUAUUAAUACUAAUAUCACUCUCAGCUUACAGCUUCCUUUUUAUAAUCACAUAACUUAGUGCUUGCUUUAACGAGAUCCAGAGCAAAACUUCUCUUGAGUAUUUCCUUGGGAAUAUCUAUCUUAAACUUAUGUCUCACAGCAUGUGAUCCCUUAACUUGUGAUUUAGCCGUUAGGCUUCUCAGCAAGUUUUAAAAAUUUUACGUUUCAUACUUGCUGUGUAUGAUUAGAAUCUCUUCUCAAAGAUGUUUAUGUAUUCCUAAAACACUUACUCUUAAAGAUAUAUAAAUACGUACUCAUCCAUUCAAUCCCUAACUCAUCUUCAUAGGUUUCUAGGGUGUCACACAAUUAGCCUCAUGUUGUUCCUAACUCUUGUCAUUUUACUGUAUCAAAACAGAUAUUACAAAUUCUCGUAAUGAUAUUCUAUAUAAACUGAUUUUCUAUACCAGUCUCGUAAUUCUUCCUUCACACUUUCAUUAUUUGGUAUCUCAUCUCAAUAUAGUCAUUUCAAGAAUCUUUCAAUUUUUUUCUUUUAAUUAUAUGCCUAUAUACAAGGCAAUAAAGAAGUUUUUCAAUUCAUUUGGGUAAACAUUCUCCAAAAUAUUUAAGACUCCCAGAUAACAAAACACAAUGACCAAUAACCAAAAUUCAAUUUGUAAGCUCAUUAUCGUGUCACUCCCAUCUUACUCAUGUAUCAUAACCGCGAGGUAUUCUGAGCAGUAUAAUGUUGAACAGUCAAUGCUGAAGUACUGUAGCUAUUAGAAAUUUUCUCAUCAAAGCUAUUUGUCUGCAUUCAAAGUCACCACAUCAAUCAUUCUCAACCAGUGGUUUCCCUUCUAGAUAUAUAUCAUGAGUUCCAUAAGUAUAGGUACCUUUUAUUUUCUUGUCCUACACACUAAGCCAGAUUAAUACUUUCAUCUCAUGUCAUCUUUUGGCUUUUAUCAUCAUUCAUAAAAUUUCACCUCAAAACAUCCUUUUCAUAUAGUGUAAUAAAUUCAUGAUACAUAUACCACUCCACACAUAAGUUGCUUACUAUCUACAACUUUCCUCAAAUUUAUCGUCAUCCCUAUCCAAUUAUCUUCUUUGUCUUAUACUCCAAUAAUCUUAUUGACUUUCGGUAUAAUUAACUACGAAAACAACCCAGCUUCCUCCUCACUUUAUUCUCACAAUCUUUAUUGAAUCAAAAUUUUAUAUUCCCCAUAUUCCAUAAUUUAACUUCAUUGGGUUAUAUUUGUGCCCAACUAUUACCUCAUAGUGUCAUAACAUCACUGAAUAAUCCCCUUCAUGCUUAAAUUACAAUCAUUAACGUAAUCACAUUAUCUAUUCCGAAUGUCAUUUAUAACCUGAUUGCUUCCUUCUAUAACCUUCCUCAAUAAUUAUAUUACCAAUUUAUCCCUAUCAUACUAAAGAUUCCCAUAUACCUUCAGUUACUUAAACGGCCAUUUUAUAAUACAUUCUAGUCCUAUACUUUAAAAGCCAAACUAUUUUUACUUCUUUGUACAGAUAAUUAUUAUCUCUUUUACACAACAUCUACUUAGAGUUAAGGUAAUGUAAAAUCCUACGAAAAUAUUACAUGUCCUUGGGAUCAUCAUCUUAAUCUGAUCUUAUCGAAAGAUUCUACUUUGAGUCCUCUUAAAGAUCCUCUUCCGGGUUUUCCUCCUCUUGAGAUUUUUUUCUUUGCUUUUCAAUCCAGGCUUGUUGUCUUCUCCUAAUUUCCUCGGCACUCACCGGUGUAGCAUUUCUUCCACAUCCAGGAGGAAAAUGGCAUACAACGUUUACCCCCUUCCUAAGACGAAUAUCUCUCCUUGCAAUUGCCUUCCUCGUAUGUUCUUUAUGGUACUAUUCAGAUUGUUUCAAAAGAAAAUCUCUUUUAGUUUUCGAAAAAUUAGAGCUACUUUCACUUUCAAAAUUCUCGUUAUUCUCAAAACUUUCCUUAUUACGAACCCGCUCUACUAAGUUCGGAGGAAUUCUAUUAUCAGGAAUUCGAGACGGACCACCUUCCGAAUGACCUAGAUCAAGGCGCCAUUUGCUUCUAGCCAUAGAAUCUAGAGAUCCCUCGCUAUCACUAUGAGAGGUAUCGGGACUACCACCUCUUCUAGACAUGGUGUGUAUAUCACCAGUGCACCUCAAAACCUAUAUGCAAUCAAAUAGUAAUUGCUUAAUUAUUUAUGCAUCUCAAAAGUAGGUAGAUUUCUAUAUGUAGAUGCAUACAUUCUAUUUAAUCUAACCUAACUUAACUUAUCUUAACUGAACUGGACUUGAAGCCACACAGUGUCAGUGUGGAUUUCUUAAAACAACCUUAAAAUCAAAAACUUUAAAAUCCAAAGCUUUAAAACCAAAAUCUUUGAUCUUUAAACCAUGCUCUAAUACCAAUCUAAAUUGUCACGACCCGGAACCCCCCAUCGGGCCCGUGACAACCAUCGCGAGGCCUCGACAAACAUUUUUCACCCCGAAUACCGAUCGAAACCUCGCAAGACUCUCGAAUCAGCUUUCGCACUUCCCCGAUGAGCAAUAGUUACCAAAUAUCAAAAUUUCAAGAAUUACAAAUCAUUUCCAAAUCAUAACAUAACAUAUUGUUUUCUAGCUCACAAGGGCAUUUUCGUCAUUUUUGUCGAAAACCUCGAAACUUGCUAAAAAUGUAGUAGGUAAGCUGAAAAUAUAUAUUUAAUGGUUUAAAAACAAAUUAAGUAUUUAAAACGUUCAUUUGAAGUGAAAAUAUGACCAUUUAAUAUAAUAAAAAUAUUCAAUAAAAUAAACUAUUUUCUUGUAAAAUAAUUUUCAUAAAACUAUCGGUACAUAAUUCUUAUAGCGUAAAAGUUAAUUAUAUUCAUAUAAACUAUAAAGCAAAUAACCAAAGCAUAAAAUUUCUUUUACAGUGACACGUGGACCCACAUCUAUCCAAAAUGCAUCGAAAGCUGGAAACCUACAGCUUUUACCGAUUCGAGUCCAAAUGAAGAUCCUUGCCAAAGUCAGCUAACUAUGGAAUUCCCCGAGCUUGAAAUGUGAGGAAAUGAGGGUGGUGAGAUUAUAAAAUCCCAGUGAGUAAACAGAUACCAUCUAAACUAUCUAAAGUCGAGUAAAUGGAGACAAUUAAAAUAAGUCAUCAUACUAUAAUUUCAUUACCUUUCAACCAAAUAAAAUCAAUCCAUGAAAAUCGAGUAAUCAACUUGGCUUAUGAAUUUCUUAAAACUUUGGCUCGUGCCAAAACUCAUACUCAGUGAUACCUUGCGCAAGGCAUUCAACCGAGUACGCCAAGGCUGUUAAAAUUUCAUAUACACUUAAAAUAUAUUUUUAGUUUGAGAAAAAUACAACCGUUCCUUGGCGUUGGUUGAGUUCCCCUUCACGUGGUGGUUUGGCGUAAAGUGAACCCUAAGCUUUACCCUAGGAGAUACCCUACGCGCCUCUCCGUUUGAGGUAAGAAUAUAAUGGAGUUUACCGUCCCCCCUCUUAUAGGCUGGUCCAUGGAACCCCCUCUGCAGUGAAUAAUUAAUAUAUAAUCCACCAAUCAAUAAAAUUCAUUCUAGCAUGACAUGGUAGUUUAUCGCAACCUAACCUCUCAAGGCUGAAUACACAGUAUAAAUAAUUCUAACACCAAAAUCAGUUUAGCCAUUCAUGCUCAUAUAUUGUCAUAAGCCAUUCAAUUUAAAACCAUAAAUUUACAACACAAGCAGGCAGUCUCCAAUUACUCUAUUUUGAAAACCAGUAUUCGAUUUUUCAGAAAAUUUAUAAAAUCAUUUUAUAAAAUCACAAUUUUUACUAAAACAUAGCAAUUUACCAUUUAAAACCCAUUUUUCAUAAAAUCACACAAUUGUAUAAAACUACUCUAGAUAAUUAAGACGAUAAUAAGUUCACUCACUGUUUUAAAAGUCGAUGUACUCUUAAUCUCAGUCUCCAAGCACAAUCUUUGUACUUUUACCAGUGUACUUUGCUCACCACCUAUCCACAAUGUACAGUACAUAAUUCAUCACAUCAAUGCUUGACCAUUAUAAAAAUCAAUUCGGGCUCGAUAUAGAUGCAUGAUAUGAUAUACAACUUAUCCGACUAUCGCUUAAAUGCGAUGCUGACCUAAUUCGGCCUAUUAUCUUCAAUUUAACUCCAAAUCAAUUUUUCUCACUUUCUACACUCCAAUUAUACUUAAAUUACCUUAGUGACUAUGAAUGAGAUACAAUUUAUCAGUCCCAGUAGCAAAUUACGAAAAUACCCCUAGUGGGUAAAAAUUUAUAUUUUUGCUCCGAAAAUUCCCAUUAUUUUUCUAGGCUCAUAAUUCACCAUUAUUCAUCAUAAUUCCUUAAAUAAACAUCAAGAUUAUCAGCCAAUAUUCCCCUAGAAAAUUUGGCCAAUAAUGGUAAUGGAGGAAAAUAAAUUCUUUUCUUAUUGUUUUAUUCCUAAAUAUGCUAAACUAACUAAAAACACUAACAUAACUUAAAAUCAAAUUAAUCUAACAACAAUCCCUCUUCCAUACCCAUUUUUCAGAAUUGAAUUCAUCAUAAUAACUCAAUAUUCAACCAUGGAAAUCAAGAACAAAAGCAUGGGUAAGCUAGGUAUCNNNNNNNNNNNNNNNNNNNNNNNNNNNNNNNNNNNNNNNNNNNNNNNNNNNNNNNNNNNNNNNNNNNNNNNNNNNNNNNNNNNNNNNNNNNNNNNNNNNNNNNNNNNNNNNNNNNNNNNNNNNNNNNNNNNNNNNNNNNNNNNNNNNNNNNNNNNNNNNNNNNNNNNNNNNNNNNNNNNNNNNNNNNNNNNNNNNNNNNNNNNNNNNNNNNNNNNNNNNNNNNNNNNNNNNNNNNNNNNNNNNNNNNNNNNNNNNNNNNNNNNNNNNNNNNNNNNNNNNNNNNNNNNNNNNNNNNNNNNNNNNNNNNNNNNNNNNNNNNNNNNNNNNNNNNNNNNNNNNNNNNNNNNNNNNNNNNNNNNNNNNNNNNNNNNNNNNNNNNNNNNNNNNNNNNNNNNNNNNNNNNNNNNNNNNNNNNNNNNNNNNNNNNNNNNNNNNNNNNNNNNNNNNNNNNNNNNNNNNNNNNNNNNNNNNNNNNNNNNNNNNNNNNNNNNNNNNNNNNNNNNNNNNNNNNNNNNNNNNNNNNNNNNNNNNNNNNNNNNNNNNNNNNNNNNNNNNNNNNNNNNNNNNNNNNNNNNNNNNNNNNNNNNNNNNNNNNNNNNNNNNNNNNNNNNNNNNNNNNNNNNNNNNNNNNNNNNNNNNNNNNNNNNNNNNNNNNNNNNNNNNNNNNNNNNNNNNNNNNNNNNNNNNNNNNNNNNNNNNNNNNNNNNNNNNNNNNNNNNNNNNNNNNNNNNNNNNNNNNNNNNNNNNNNNNNNNNNNNNNNNNNNNNNNNNNNNNNNNNNNNNNNNNNNNNNNNNNNNNNNNNNNNNNNNNNNNNNNNNNNNNNNNNNNNNNNNNNNNNNNNNNUCUUGUCUCCUUAGUUCCCAAAAUACUUUAUUAUGCCUCACUUGACUUCCAAAUCGCCUUUUAUCUCAUAAAUUCUCCUCCGAUAAAAUUAUUAUUAUUUUAUUAUUAUUUUCUCACUUGCGAAAUAUUUUAUCCUAAACUACUCCUUUCGUCUUUUAUCACUUUUAAACAUUUUAAUUGACCUCAAUUUACAUUCGAUCAACUUUAUUUGUCACCAUAUCUAAGUAUGGGGUAUUUCAAGAAGAAAGGUGUUUUUACACAAAUGAGAAAUUGAAACCAUGCUUCUUUUAGAAAAAGUGCUUCAAGUUAAUGCUUAAGUGUAAUUGUGGAGCAAAAUUUUAUCAGGUUUUGUUUCUAACUUGCACUUCUCUAUUUUUUUUUUCUUUGAAAUGAAGAUGUGAUGGUGCUAGUUACAUGUAAGAUGUGUCAUUGUAAAAAUGGUGUGAAAAAAUUGCCAAUCAUGGCAUUGAAUAUGAAUAAAUAGUGAUAGGUGGAAACCAUUUUUUAUUUAUUUGACAUUUUAUAUUUUAUAAUUUCAAAGGCAAUGACCUUGAUCUAAUAUUUCUUUGUUAGUUCCAAAUCUCAGGAAUUUGUGAAGACCAAGCAUUCACAAUUUCAUUACGAGUCAAAAUUGUAUCUACUUUUUCAAUGAAGAAGUAAGUCUAUGUCUCUCAUCUCUCUUCUUUUCUAUGUCUUUCUAUAAAAAUUAUCUUUACUACAUCAUAAUUUAACUAGAGUCUUCUUUGAGGAGCCUUUUCCACUACACUAUCACUAUACAAGAAAAAAAAAAAGAAAAACAUGCAAGUUGUGGUUUGAUGAAUGCUAGUAAUUUUCUUUGAUUUAUAAUUUUAUAAAUCAGAAUUCAUUAAAUUUGAUAUUGGACUUGGUAACUGUUGGUUCAGAAAGAGAAUAUCAAGUCUUCUUUUCCUUUCCAUAAAUCAACUAAGUCUUUAAACAAUUUGUUUAACACACAAGCGCAAACCUUUCUUUAGACAUGUUGGCUGGCAGGUUGAUGUUUUAUCUUGAAUAUUCUAUGCCUUUUUUUCUUUGUAAGAAUUUUUUAAAAAAGCACAUUAUCUUAAUAUUUAAAUAAAAUAUUCAACCUGAAAUGGUUUGGAGUCGAGGUAGUUUACAAUGUCAUGGUAUUCGACCUUCUUGGAUCUAGUCUAGAAGAUUUUUUCUACUACUAGAAUAGGAAACUUUCAUUAAAAAUAGUGUUGAUGCUUGCUCAUCAAUUAGUAAAUAUAUCUGACUUUUUUGUGCUAAAUAAUAAGUUUUCAACUUAUUUUUAUUUUUAAUUUUCCCCUUUUCCAACUUUUUUUUUUGUCUAGAUUAAUAAAGUAAAAUAUAUGCAUUCAAGAGGUUUUCUUCACCAUGAUAUAUGUUGAUGUAGCCAUCAAGUUAGACAAACUAGGGCUUAAAAACAAGGUAGUCACACCCUUAGUGCAAGUUAAAAAAAGUUGAAAGAAGUUUAAAUUAUUCUCUCUACUACUUUCUAUGUAGACUAUUAAUAUUUCUAUUGUUAUUUUGAAAAUCUCUAAACCCUAUAUUGAAUCGGGUUUAAUCUUUUAAUCUUUUGAAUUAAAUAUAGUAAGCGUUCCAUUUUCAUGUGCCUCUUCUGCAUUCUUCAACUUUACAUUCUAGUUUCUAUUCUCAUUUUACAUGAUUCUUGCUUGGAUGGUACUAAUGAUUCUGAUUGACCGAUAGAUGCUUAUGGGAGAAGGUGGCUCAUUUUCAGUUGGGGUCUAGGGAAAUGGAUGCACUCAUGGUAUGUAAGUUUUUUUUUUUUAUCUACCGUAACAUUCUCCUUUCUUGACAAUGUACAUUUGAUUUUAGCUAAUGUCAUUUUUCAAACAAAAUAUGUUGGAAGUAACAUCUUGCCCUAGACAUUUUCUUUGUAUAUUCUAUUCAAUAGAAAAUUGCUUUAUGAGUAGUUUCUUAUUGUUUGUAGAUGGCCUCAAAACAAUAAAGCAAGGUGUGUUGUUGGUGACUAUAAUAGGUAUGCCUCACUUUAAUGCAUUUGUAUGAAUCUAUGUUUGCUUCGUUUCAUUUCUCUACUUUGCAGCUAAUGAUUCAUCUUAAUGUAUGUCUUGUAACACCCCGUACUCUCGUAUAGAAGCCAAUAUGAUCUUAUCGAUAAGACGAAGGGUCCAUCAAUGUAAAUUUAAGUGCCAAAGAGCGGUGACAAAUGAAAGGAGUAUUUUGGAAUAAAAUAUUUCGCACGUAAUAAAAUAGUAAUUAAAUAAUAAUAUUUUUAUCAAGGAUAAAUUAGUAAGUUAAAAGGUGAUUCGGAAGUGAACCGAGGCAAAGUAAGAUGUUUUGGAGCCCUAGAAAGCUAGAGGAAAAUUUUGGAAUAAAUAAUAUUAAAAUAUUAAUAUUUUAUCUAUUGUCGAAAUUAAUCAUGAGAGAGGAUUAUAUGACUAAUCUAAGUGAGGGAGAAGAAAUAAGAAAGAAUUUCGAAGGAAAACGACGAUAAUGGGGGUCGCGUGUCUUUAUUAAAUAGAGCUUGAGCGGGUAAGUAUAUAUUUAAAUAUUAUGGUGACAUCUUGGUGAAGUGCAAAUUCUAUAUCCUAUUUGUAUAAGUGUAAAGGAAGGAAGAUAGAAGGACAUUGGAAUUAAAUAAACAUUGGAAGGACCAAAUUGUAAAGGAUGAAAGUUUAGAGGUUUGAAUGGCAAACAAGGAAAAGUUUGAGGGCUUGUGUGCAAUUUCAAUUUUUGAAGUUAAAUGGACAUUCACUAACCAAGGGAAGUUAGAUUAUGUGGAAUAUGAAAUAUACAUGUGAAUUCACUAUUACAAGCAAAUCAUUGCAUGCAAAAAGUAGAAAUUUAGUAAGAAACAUGUGGGAGCCCACCAUGUGAAAGUUGAUAAAGAGAAAAAGAACAAAGAGUAAUUAAGUGAAAGAAAACCAUGGUUUGUCAAGGAUAGCCCAUGGUAAACAAAGUAAGGUUGGCAAUGUGAUUUGAUAAGAAAAAGAAAGAAUAAUUUAGUUGCAUGAAAUCCUAUUGGUUUGAAGGGAAGUCAAAUAGGAAUCAAGAGUGGAAAAAUGCAUGAAGCCUUACUAGUUUAUGGGAUGGCAAAGGCUAUUGGUAAAGGAAAAAUUGUAUGAAACAAUAUUGAGUGAUAAAGUGGCCAAAUGAGGGAAUGACAAGUGGAAAUUAAAGGAGAUGAAAUACAUGUGAAAUGAAAUGCAAAUGAAGAAAGAAUGAAAGUGAAAGUGGCGGGUGGAAAGGUUUCAAAAGCCUUUUUGCCUUGUGAUUUUAACCACAAAAGAAAAAGGAAAAUGCCAAAAUAACUAAGCCUUGGGCAAUCUGCCCAUGAGAGAAGAAAAGGAAAGGAAAAGAAAAGAAAGUAAAGAAAAAAAUGUGACUUUGGGCAAUCCGUCCAUGUUUGGGUAAAAUGAGGAAGUGAUAGCCAUUUUCAAGGCUUUUGCCUUAAGAGGUCCGCCCAUCACAAAACAAAAAGAGAAGAAAAGAAACAUGCAAAAUGGACGUUCGGCCUUUAGAAGAAAAUGUGAAGAAAACAAGUGAGUUCAUGAGAGAUCAGCCCAUUUGUAAGGAAAAUUGUCACGACCCGGUACUCUCCUCAAGCCCGUGAUAAUCGCCGCGAUGUCCCGAUAGACAUUCAUUACCCUGAAUGCCAACCGAAACCUCGCAAGGCUUAAUAUCAAUUUUCGCACCUCCUCUGUGAGCAUAAUUACUAAAUAUCAUAUUUUAAAAGAUUAUAAGCUAUUUCCAAAUCAAAACAAUAAUAAAAAAAUAUUUUCUGUCUCACAAGGGCAUUUUGGUCAUCUUUCCCAAAAAUUUUGAAACUGGCUAAAAAUAUAAUAUAUAGGGGAAAAUACACAUUUCAUAACUAAAAACAAGUUUUUUAUGUCUAAAACAUUCAUUUAGGGUGAAUUUGUAGCUAAUAAAAUAAAAUAAAAAUAUUAAAUGAAAUAUUCCAUUUUCUUAUAAAACAAUAUUUAUAAAACUCUACGUAAAUAAUUUUUGUAGCGUAAAAGCAAAAUAAAUCCAUACAUACAGUAACACAGAUAACCAGAGUAUGUAAUUUAAUUUACAAUGAUGUGUGGGCCCUCGAAUGACCAAAGGUAACAAAGGCUGUGGACCUACAAUUUUUGAGGAGGUGAGUCCAAUAAUAACCCUCAACGUAAUCAGCUAUUUGUGGACUGUCCUGAUCUUGGAAUGAGUGGAAAGAAGGGUGGUGAGUUUAUAUAAACUCAGUGAGUAAACAAACAUCAUCUAAAAUAUCUAAAGCCGAGUAAAUGGAGACAACUUAAAAUAGUUCAUCGUACUAUGAUUCAUAACGUUUCAAACUCAUUUCAACUAAAUAAAAUAAUUCCAUUUCACUCAAAUAAUCAACAUUGCUUAUGAAUUUAUUAAAAAUUUGGCUCGUACCAAAACUCAUUCUCAGGGAUACCUUGGUCGGGGCAUCCAACCGAGUCCGCCAAGGCUGUUAAAGAAAAGUUCAUAUACGCAUAAAACACAUUUUUACGUUUAAAAGCAUAGCCGUUCCUUGGCAUUGGCUGAGUUCACCCUCACGUGGUGGUUUAGCGUGUAGUGAACUCUAAAGCUUUACCUCAGGAGAUACCCUCCGCACCUCUCGUAUUAAGGUAAAAUCUAAUCGGGUUUACCGUGCCCCUCUCUAAUAGGCUGGUCCACGAAAAUCCACCACAGCAGUGACUAAUCAAUAUCCCACCAAACCAAUAAAAGUUUCGACAGCAUGACAUGGCAAUUAUAUCACUACCUAGCCUGUUAUGUAAAGUCCGACCUUAUAAAAUGCUAUUCAUGACAUACAUGUGAUGAUAGCAUGAUUGCAUGUUAGGAGAGUCCCGAAAAAUUUACAAAAGUCGGUAUUGUACCUAGAGGUACAACAAAGUUGAUUUAAUCCUCGAACUAUAUCAAAUAGGAAUUUUAAAGUGAAAUUAAGAGUGUCACAGUCCAAGGAUUACUUAAAAUGGUAAUUCGGAGUUUGAGGAUCAAUUUAGAGUGAAACUGAAAUUUUCACUAUAUAGGGGUAAAAUGGUCAUUUGCCACUUGGGGAUAAAAUGGGAAUUUUAGAAAAGAUUUUUUGACCCGAUUUGACUUAUUGGAGUAUAAUUUGACUUAUUGGAGUAUGAUUUGAGGUUUAGAAGUGAAAAAUUUUAAUUUCGGUAUAAUUUGGAGUAAAAGGGUAAAGAGGUAAUUUUGCCACCCCAGGGGUAAAAUUGUAAUUUUCCACCACCAGGAUAUUUUUUCCAACACAUGGUCUUCCUUUAUCCUCAUUUUUGACCUUUGACUAAUCAUGUGGUGGAGAUAAAAUGUUUAAAUUUUUAAAAUUUUAAAAAUGGACCAAUAAGAAAAUGCCAUGUGUCAAGCUUAGGAUAUUUAAUAUUCGGGCAAGCAAGGAAGAAAAAACCCUAGGUGAGGAAUUUCAAGAGAAAAAGUGUGGAAUAUCAAGGAAAACAAGUGAAAAAGGUCGGAUUUUUCAACUUAAGCUUGAAAUCUAUUUUCCUUGAGCAUUUCUCCAUAUUUUCGAUGCUUAAAUUACAUGUUUUCAUGAUGAAUUGUUAGCUGAUCAAAAUGGGUUAGGAGAGAGACAGUUGUUAGAUUAAUUUGAUUUUAAGUUAUGUUAGUGUUUUUAGUUAGUUUAGCAUAUUUAGAAACAAAACAACAAGAAAAGAAUUUAUUUUCUCCCACAACCAUUAAUGGCCGAAUUUACCAUGUAUGAGUGAGGAUGAGUUUGAUUUUCAUUCUAGGAGAAUUGGUUAAGAAAUGAUGAAUUAUGAGCCUAGAAAAAUAAUGGGAAUUUUCGGAGCAAAAAUACGAAUUUUUACCCACUAGGGGUAUUUUCGUAAUUUGCUAUCGAGAUUGAUAAUUUGCACCACAUUGAGGGACAUUAAGUCAAUUUGGGUGCAAUUGAGGUAUAGAAACUGAAAAAAAAUUAAUUUGGCAUUAAAUUGGACGCGUUAGUAAUUUAAUCGGGUGAUAAGACAAAUUAGGCCAAUAUCGGGUUUAGAUAGUUACCAGUGCAUUUUUGCAUUUCAUAUCAUGCAUUAGUAGUCUAAAUUAGUUUAAUUUCAAUUUAGUACUAAUUUGGUGAAUUUCUCGAUUUUAUACUGUGUCAAGGUGGUGAGUCCUCCGAUAAAGGCAAGGAAAUUGCAUCCGAGGACCAAUAGACACAGUGCUUCGAAAGUUUGCAUUCUAGACAUUGUGAGUAAACUUACUGUCAUUUUAAUUAUCUAGGGUAGUUUUUAGAUGAUUUCAUGAAUUCUAUGGAAAAAGGAAUUUAACAAGGUAAAUUUUCAUGUUUUAUGAAUAAAUGUGUUUCAAUGAAAUUAAAUUAUAAAUUAUUUUGAAAUUAAUAAUGAUUUUGAAAAAUAGAGUACACGGAGACUGUUAAUUGUGGCAAUUUGAUUGUUUAAAUUGAUUGGCUUAUGAUAAAUCGGGCAUGAUUGGCUAGUUGGCAAUUGUUUUGAAAUACGAAUUGUUUGGUUGCCUUGAAAGACUAGAAAUUACAAAAUUGCCAUAUCAUGUUAUUGAGUUUUAUUGUAUGGUGGAUUAUAUAUUAAUUAAUCACUACAGUAAGGGGUUUUUGUGGACCAGCCUUUUAGAGGGGCACGAUAAACCCCAUUAUAUUCUUACCUCAAACGGAGAGGCGCGUAGGGUAUCCCCUGGGGUCAAGCUUAGGGUUCACUUCACGCCAAACCACCACGUGAGGGGGAACUCAGCCAACGCCAAAGAACAGCUAUGUUUUCAAAACCGAAACAUGAUUUAUGUGAAAUGUGAAUUUUAAUAGCCUUGACGGUCUCGGUAGGAUGCCUCGGCCACGGUGUCCCUAAGAAUGGAUUUAUGGCACAAAUCUAGUUUUUAUGAAAUUCAUAAGCCUCUUUACAUAUUUUAAAUGAAAUGUAUUCUAAUGCUGUGAUCCAGUUUACGAUGAUUUACUUUAUUAUCUCCAUGUACUCAACUCUAGAUAUUUAUGAUGAUGUCUAUUUACUCAUAGGGAUUUUAUAAUCUCACCACCCUCCUUUCCACCCAUUUCAGGUUCAGUAUAGACUGUAGAUAACUGAUCUCAUCGAGGACUACCAUUGGAUCUGCAUUUUCCAAACCGUAGGUUCACAGUCCUCUUUACUUUUGUUUAUUCGGGGGCCCUCUUGUUAUUGUAAAUUAAAUUAAUUAUUUUGGCUUACUGUAUUUCAGUAUGUAUAAAUUUAUUUAGCUUUUACGCUAUAAAAUUAUUCACGUAUAACUCUAUAAAUAUUGUUUUAUAAGAAAAUAGAAUAUUUUACUUAAUAUUUCUUUUAUUUUCUUAUUAUAUUCAAAUAACCGUAAUUUCGUUUUAAAUGAAGAUUUUAGACUUUUAAACUCAUUUUGAAUAUGAAUUAU
This 42095-nucleotide long non-coding RNA is filed under the name Theobroma cacao (cacao). Its description in RNAcentral is "long non-coding RNA (TCAC_LNC004904)". Lineage: Eukaryota; Viridiplantae; Streptophyta; Magnoliopsida; Malvales; Malvaceae. The record is from RNAcentral.